Molecule: long non-coding RNA, 1717 nt
Organism: Marmota monax (woodchuck)
Lineage: Eukaryota; Metazoa; Chordata; Mammalia; Rodentia; Sciuridae
Exons: 6
Source: RefSeq, a predicted model, not a curated record
UGGACUGAACUGAGAGCAGGGAGGAGAGGUGCGUGCCAGGUUGGAGUGCAGACACCGCCUGGGGAAUUCUGCUGGGGUCUGAAGCCUAGAAAUGUAGCUAAGGUGGACUGUGGGACAAAAGGAGGGCUUCUUAACACUGGAAGCUCCAGCGCAAGACCCUGCCACAGCCAGGGCAACCAGAGGACAGGCCAUGCGGAGCCCUGAGCAGAGGGCGACAGGCCUCCCGCAACCAGAGAGCAUAGCAAGGGGCCAGGAGUGCCUGGCAGUGAUAGGAACACAGAACACGCACCAGGGACAGGCAGGAGGCAACCAGCCAGGAGUGACGAAUGCAAACAAGAAAGUGGGGAAGGAUUGGAAGUCACAAGGGCUCCAGGAACCGCUGCAGUGAGACUGAGAGGAAGUGGCACUUAAGAGUGGGACGAGAUUUUGAGAUGAGCCUCUAAGACAAACCUGGAUGGGAUCAGCAAAGAUGCACACACAGCGAGCCCAGCCAGAGACUGGACAGACCGGCUCAAGGAAAGCCAAUGCUGGGGCACAGGCCGGGAGCACUUGGCAAGGCAAGGGAACAGGAUCCUGGGUCAAUGAGGCCAAGGAAAACAAGCCAGAAACCCUGGCCUGGAGCAGAAUCGAACCCAGUGCCUCACACGUGCCAGGAGAGUGUGCUACUGCUGAGCCCCAGCCCCAGCCCCAGUCCCAGAGGUGCAGUUUCCUCAGAAGCCUAUGCAGUUUAAAGAACUCUUCCUCCAGUCUGAACUUCAGUCUGAAGUGAUGGCCCUCCUUCAAGUUCCCACUGCACACCUGUUUCGAAGGACGUCUUACAGUACCUAUACAGUAUUUCUCCCACAGAACUGUGCGUUACUACAACCAGACGGUCCUUCCUUGAAUAGUUAGCUAUUCCGUCUGGUUUCAUUGUCCUUAACAAUGAAAAGCUGCUUAAUAAAAUGUUUGCUGAGGAACUCUAUAGAUCAAACUUAAGAAACAUCUUCUGGCCAACCUCAGGGACACAUGCCUGUCCCCCCAGCUACUGGACAGACUGAGGCAAAAGGAUCACUUGAGCCCAGGGUUCAAGGCCAGCCAGGGCAACCUAGUGAGAAUCUAGCUCCCAAGGGGAAAAAAGAAUAUUAGCCUUCCAGUAAGAGACGAACUGUUAUGUGCAACAUCCACAACCAAAAUAAAUAAAAUAAAAUAAAAUAAAUGAUUUGGCAAGAAGAAACAUUCAACAUUUUCUAAAAUUAACCAGCAACAGUAGCUGCUUUCCACAUACUGGCAUUCAUCUCUCAUAACUUAAGAGAAUUGGGCAACACUUCAUUCCAGGUGUUCUCCAGGUCUGCUAUUUUCGCUACCCUGCAUUUAACAGAGACUGCGAUGAGACAAUGCGCACCGAGGGCUCCUCUACCACUGAGGCUUAAGAGUGGAUCUGAGUGUCCUGGAAAUAGACCUUACGAGGUAAAACAAAACACUGGCUCAAAACAAGGAAGCGAACCAACAAAAGGCCCCACAGAUGGAAAACCUGCCACCUUCCGCCACCUCCCAAAGGUGGAGCCGGCCAGGAGCCGGGUUCCCGAGCGCGCUCCCGGGAGGGCCUGGUAUGGAGAGUCGGGACUUAGGUGGAGGCCCUGUGGCGCGGGCACCAGGACCCUCGGCCCCGGAGGCUGCUAGGUGGGCAGCGACCCUCCUGCGCCCCCAGGCCCUGCGGAGAGGGGCUCCGCGCCGCCCC